UACAGAGGGUGCAAGCGUUGUUCGGAAUUAUUGGGCGUAAAGCGCGUGUAGGCGGCUUUGCAAGUCGGGUGUGAAAGCCCUCAGCUCAACUGAGGAAGUGCGCCCGAAACUGCAGAGCUUGAGUGCCGGAGAGGGUGGCGGAAUUCCCCAAGUAGAGGUGAAAUUCGUAGAUAUGGGGAGGAACACCGGUGGCGAAGGCGGCCACCUGGACGGUAA
This 216-nucleotide ribosomal RNA is filed under the name uncultured bacterium. RNAcentral describes it as "partial 16S ribosomal RNA". It matches the Rfam family "Bacterial small subunit ribosomal RNA", at positions 524 to 739 of the family's 1533-position model. The record is from RNAcentral.